UAGACAGAAGUCCGUUGGUUUGGGCAUCUAGCUGUUAACUAGGGGGUUGUGGGAUCGAAGCCCACCUGUCUAG
This 73-nucleotide transfer RNA is filed under the name Agapornis roseicollis (peach-faced lovebird). RNAcentral describes it as "tRNA-Asn". The record is from RNAcentral. Lineage: Eukaryota; Metazoa; Chordata; Aves; Psittaciformes; Psittacidae.